UGGGGAAUAUUGCACAAUGGGCGCAAGCCUGAUGCAGCCAUGCCGCGUGUAUGAAGAAGGCCUUCGGGUUGUAAAGUACUUUCAGCGGGGAGGAAGGUGUUGAGGUUAAUAACCUCAGCAAUUGACGUUACCCGCAGAAGAAGCACCGGCUAACUCCGUGCCAGCAGCCGCGGUAAUACGGAGGGUGCAAGCGUUAAUCGGAAUUACUGGGCGUAAAGCGCACGCAGGCGGUCUGUCAAGUCGGAUGUGAAAUCCCCGGGCUCAACCUGGGAACUGCAUUCGAAACUGGCAGGCUAGAGUCUUGUAGAGGGGGGUAGAAUUCCUGGUGUAGCGGUGAAAUGCGUAGAGAUCUGGAGGAAUACCGGUGGCGAAGGCGGCCCCCUGGACAAAGACUGACGCUCAGGUGCGAAAGCGUGGGGAGCAAACA
This 427-nucleotide ribosomal RNA is filed under the name uncultured bacterium. Its description in RNAcentral is "partial 16S ribosomal RNA". It matches the Rfam family "Bacterial small subunit ribosomal RNA", at positions 355 to 774 of the family's 1533-position model. The record is from RNAcentral.